This is a long non-coding RNA of Dendrobium catenatum, 712 nucleotides long. RefSeq lists it as uncharacterized. The transcript has 3 exons. The record is from RefSeq and is a predicted model, not a curated record. Lineage: Eukaryota; Viridiplantae; Streptophyta; Magnoliopsida; Asparagales; Orchidaceae.
UAAGAGCUGUUGGUGCAGUAUAGUGUUCACCAUAUUGUACUCUUAGCAUGCUAUUUAGUUUUGUUUCUUUUAGUAAAUAAAGUUUAUUAUAUUUAAUUUUACUAUGUUAUUAUUUUAAUUUAAGAUCCCCUGAGCCUUGUCUGAUCUCUCAUGCAGACCCUUGAGCCAAGUAAUAAGUGGAAACUCUUCAUCAGUAUCGUGAAAGACCGAACUCAUACAAUCUCAAUAUCUCUGCCAUCUUUUUUGAGUACCAAUUUCCUCUACAAGUUGAACUUAACCUCAUCUUGAUCCAAAUGAAUGAGUUCUCUUCGUCUUUGAUUUUCUUUCCAUUUGAACACCGCCCGCUCUAGAGGCAUCUACUGUUUACAGCAUUCUUCUAUUGCUUCUUCGUGAUUCUACAAAUUAUAAAAUUAGAAUACACGCUGCUGUUGCAUUGGCUGUACCAUCAUCAAGGCUUGGCCAGGUCUUCAAAGUAUCAUCACUUCAGUGAAAAUUAAAUUAUAUAUUGUUAUGUCAGAUUUUUAAUGAUGCGUCUUUUUAACUUUUUAUCACUUCUGUUCUGGAUUUUCUACUUUCCAACCAUCUUCACCAUGUUUCAAACUGCCAAAGGAUAUUGUAUGAACUAAAAGCCAUCUGUGGAACAAACAACAUUAAGUUGCUACUGUGAAAUCCAACUAGCCUUUUGAUGUGGUCAUAAAUUUUAAAUUCAUUG